AACCCCUACGCGAACUUGCAACUUGCUUGUCCAGGCAUUGGUGAAGCAGAAGGGUUUCUCUCUCGCUCCAUUUGCUACGAUGAGAGCCAAGUGGAAGAAGAAGCGAAUGAGGAGGUUGAAGAGAAAACGUCGAAAGAUGAGGCAAAGAUCCAAGUAGUUGCAGUUUUAGCUCGCCAAGCCAUUAAUUAAAAGUAAUAGUUGCAAUACAAUUCUAUGCUUUACGUAAGCUCCAAAAAGUCAGAGUUAAUCAACUAAGGAGUCUCUUGUCUCAGCAAUCACAGCUGUUUCCAUGAAAGCAUUUUCUGUAUAUGUUGAAAGGGAAUUUUAACCCGGGGAUGGAAGUUGAUUGAUGAGCAUUUGGAUUUUGUUUGAAA
Long non-coding RNA from Populus nigra (black poplar), 374 nucleotides. RefSeq lists it as uncharacterized. The record is from RefSeq and is a predicted model, not a curated record. Lineage: Eukaryota; Viridiplantae; Streptophyta; Magnoliopsida; Malpighiales; Salicaceae. The transcript is spliced from 2 exons.